GGACUACCCGGGUUUCUAAUCCUGUUUGCUCCCCAUGCUUUCGCGCCUCAGCGUCAGUUUUAGCCCAGUAAACCGUCUUCACCACCGGUGUUCUUCCACAUAUCUACGCAUUUCACCGCUACACGUGGAAUUCCGUUUACCCUAACUAUACUCUAGCAUGGAAGUUUCAAAUGCAGCUCCGGGGUUGAGCCCCGGAAUUUCACGUCUGACUUUCCUUGCCGCCUACGCGCCCUUUACGCCCAGUAAUUCCGAUCAAUGCUUGCACCCUCCGUAUUACCGCGGCUGCUGGCAC
This 292-nucleotide ribosomal RNA is filed under the name uncultured bacterium. RNAcentral describes it as "partial 16S ribosomal RNA". The record is from RNAcentral.